CAGGGAAACAUGUGAGCAAAGGUCUCUGUGUCAUAAAUAAGGUUAAGGAAAGGAGCUGUGCCUUGAUGUGAGAGUAGGCCAGAUUUAUGUUUGACUUUACACAAGCAUCUCAGUGCGGUAAAGAGCAGUAUUGCCACCAGCAUGUCUCACCUCCAGCCAUAAGGCGGUUUUCUCCUAUCUCAGUAAAUAUAAUGUAUGAUCGAGUUUUACACCGAGACAUUCCAUUCCCAGGGAUGAGCAGGAGACAGAUGCCUUCCUCUUAUCUCAAUUGCAAAGAGGCCUUCCUCUUUCACUAAUCCUCCUCAGCACAGGCCCUUUAUGGGUGCCGGGCUGGGGGAUGGUCAGGUCUUUCCCUUCCCAUGAGGCCAUAGCUCAGGCUGUCUCAGUGGGGAGAAUCCUUGGACAAUACCCAGGCUUUCUUGGGCAGAGGUCCCUGCGGCCUUCUGCAGUGCACUGUGUCCCUGGGUACUCGAAACUAGAGAAUGGUGAUGACUUUUACCAAGCAUACUGCCUGCAAACACAUUUUUAACAAAGGACAUCCUGCACAGCCCUAAAUCCAUUAAACCUGGAGUCAACACAGCACAUGUUUCUGUGAGCACAGGGUUGGGGCUAAAGUUACAGAUUAACAGCAUCUCAAGGCAGAAUAAUUUUUCUUAGUAGAAAACAAAAUGGAGUUUCUUAUGUCUUCUUUCUACAUAGACACAGUAACAGUCUGAUCUCUCUUUCUUUCCCUGACAGUUGUUAGUAAGGGUAUCCCCUGUGAAGGCUUGUUGGUCAGGGAGGAGAUGAAGGCUGUUUGGUUUUGGAGAGACAGAGAGAGGGAGAGAGAGAAAUGGGUUUUUGUAAUUAAUAGCCAUUGUGGUUCUGAUAGGGCUGAAGGAUAUAGGUUGCAGUCGAGAGAAUGGAUUGGCCGACUAGGUGAGAUGUAGGUUUAUUUUGGACCGGGUUCGUGUGGUUAGAUUAACAGGAAGGGCUGUGAACAGCUGGAUUUGUGUGGACAAACAAAUCUAACAGUUGGAAAAAAGAGGGGAUCGUGACUGAUUUAAGAGGUAAUGUAUGAAGUUGACAAAGGGGGCCCUACUGCCAGAGGCUGGGGGUGGAGACUUAGAGUAUCUCACAAAGAAGACAAAAGGAGAUUUGAGUGGGAGAGAAAUUUUGGAAGAUACCCUGCAGCCAUAGCUCCUGGAUUAGUGUAGGAAAUAGGAGUGGUCUAUCCAGGGAUGUGGGGAAGGAAUAACAGGAAAGAUCUGAAACAAUGUACCAGAUAAAAGAUUUGAAAUUGGAGGAAGAGAGUGUUAUGGACCAGGGCCUCCUGGAUUGGCAACUUCUGGAAUUUUUGUUAAGUGCCGCUAGGUUAGUCCUGUAAGAAAGGAAGAAUUUUGGGGUGGGGGGUGUGGGGAGGGAAUUUCUGGAUGUAAAUUUGGUGCUCUUUUUAGUUUGGAAUGGUGUAUCCCGUGUAGAAAGGAUGUUAGCUUUCCCGAUGUGGGAGUAAUUAGAAUAACCUGGUGAGCACCCAUCCACUUAGAUUGGAGAAGGGAGGAGGAGAAGUCUGUGAUUGUUUAGAGUCUUCGCUAGCUAUUGGUUAACCUGUGAAACAAAUGCUCGCCUGUUGUCUGACUGGAUAGAAGAGGGGAGUCCAAAUGGGAGGAUAAUGCGGGUAAUACAGAGAAUAGAAGUGACAGUGUGUGUGUGGUUUUUUUUUUUUUGAUGGUGGUAGGAAAAGUUUCUGUCCAUCCAGAGAAUGUAUCUAUUAUUGUCAGAAGGUACUGGAUUUGUUUUACAGGGGGUCAUGUGAGUGAAGUUGAUUUGCCAGUCAGUCUUGCCCUGGCAGGUGUCUUCAGGCCUGGUGUGUGGGGAAAGGAGGUGGUUUGAUAGCUCCCUGAGGGGAAGUUUGAGUGCAAAGGGAACAUGCCUUAGUAAUAUCUUUGAGAUUGGCAGUCAUGGCAGGAGAAUGUGUAUAAGAGUUGGCAUAGGGGGCGGUAACCAGUAUGAAAAUGGUUGUGUACAUAUGAAAGUACAGAAGGUCCUGGAACUUGGGCAAGACAAUUUUAUUACUGAGGUAAAACCAUCCUCCUUCCUGAAUGGCAUCAGCCUGGAUGAGUGAGGUUUGUUCUUCCUGGGUAUAUACAGGAUGUAUGUUGGGAAAAAUGGGCAGUAAUGAUGGGGUUUUAAGGGGUGCCUGCCAGGCUGCUGAAUUUGCUAAGAAGUUUUCAUUGGUUUUGGCAUUUGUAGCCUUUUGGUGUUCCUUGCAAUAGAUAAUGGUGGCCUUUAGUGGUGGUUCAGCCACCUCCAGCAGUUUGUGUAUGAGUUUGCCAUUUCCUAUGGGGAUUCCUUUUGUAGUUAGAAAACCCCUUUUCUGCCAGAUUAAGACCUGAGAAUGUAGGAUAUGGUAUGCAUAUUUGGAAUUGGUGUAAAUUGGUUAACCCUUUCCUUUUUCCUUUUGCUAGGAUGGGCAACUAGCUCCUCUUGUUGACAGGUAGUUCUGCCUGUUGA
This 2493-nucleotide long non-coding RNA is filed under the name Homo sapiens (human). RNAcentral's name for it is "non-protein coding lnc-PLA2G5-1:2". Lineage: Eukaryota; Metazoa; Chordata; Mammalia; Primates; Hominidae. The record is from RNAcentral.